AUUCCAGCUCCAAUAGCGUAUAUUAAAGUUGUUGCGGUUAAAAAGCUCGUAGUUGGAUUUCUGUCGAUGACUGGUGGUCCUCUCUAUGAGAGUGUAUCUACUUAGGCGUUGGCAUCCUCAUGAGAGACGUUUCUGUGCUUGAUUGCAUGGUGCGGAUUUCAUGACUUUUACUUUGAGGAAAUUAGAGUGUUCACGGCAGGCACGCGCCUUGAAUACAUUAGCAUGGAAUAAUAAUAUAGGAUCGAGAUUCUAUUUUGUUGGUUUCUAGAAUCACGAUAAUGAUUAAUAGGGAUAAUUGGGGGCAUUUGUAUUAACGCGUCAGAGGUGGAAUUCUUGGAUUGCGUUACGACAAACUACUGCGAAAGCAUUUGCCAAGGAUGUUUUCAUUA
RNAcentral lists this ribosomal RNA (389 nucleotides) under Syndiniales sp. RNAcentral describes it as "partial small subunit ribosomal RNA". It matches the Rfam family "Eukaryotic small subunit ribosomal RNA", at positions 582 to 975 of the family's 1831-position model. Lineage: Eukaryota; Dinophyceae; Syndiniales. The record is from RNAcentral.